Long non-coding RNA from Oxyura jamaicensis (ruddy duck), 147 nucleotides. RefSeq lists it as uncharacterized. The transcript is spliced from 3 exons. Lineage: Eukaryota; Metazoa; Chordata; Aves; Anseriformes; Anatidae. The record is from RefSeq and is a predicted model, not a curated record.
GAGAGGUGCUUUCACACUACUGAAAGAAGUAUGUUAUGCUCUACCCAUAAGGCAUGUGAUGAAUUUUAACUUAAAAAAGACAUAAAAUUUUAAAUGCAAACUUCACUGAACAGAGAUAAAAUAUUUACUUAAGGCUUUUUCCCUUUC